CGAACCCGGGGAACUGAAACAUCUCAGUACCCGGAGGAAAAGACAUCAACCGAGAUUCCGUUAGUAGUGGCGAGCGAACGCGGACCAGGCCAGUGCCUGAUUGUAAAUUAGCAGAACAUUCUGGAAAGUUUGACCAUAGUGGGUGACAGUCCCGUAUGCGAAAAUGAUCAAUCAGGACUCGAGUAGGGCGGAACACGUG
RNAcentral lists this ribosomal RNA (199 nucleotides) under Favella ehrenbergii. Its description in RNAcentral is "partial Bacterial large subunit ribosomal RNA". It matches the Rfam family "Bacterial large subunit ribosomal RNA", at positions 180 to 428 of the family's 2925-position model. The record is from RNAcentral. Lineage: Eukaryota; Ciliophora; Spirotrichea; Tintinnida; Xystonellidae.